AAACUGCGAAAAGUAAUGUGAACUGCAUACUUUGUGAAUCAUCGAAUUUUCGAAUGCACAUUGCACCCUCUGGCUCUGCCUCUGGGUAUACUUGUUUGAGUAUCAUGCAACCUAUCUUGCGCUCCUUUGGGGGCCAAGGAAGUGAGAUCCAGCGCAGCUAUGCGCUGCUUCUUUAAAUGCGGAAUGGGGAGGCUUAUUAAGUUUGAGCCGCACUGAGAGUCUCGUAUUACAUUGUUGGGAUAACAUUUCAACGAGUUUGCGAGGCAUGCAAGGAGCCAUUCCAAGCGUCGCUGCGGCACUAACGUGCAGCUGUGACACGGCCUCGGCCAGCACAUUGAUCUCAAAUCAAGUAAGACUACCCGCUGAACUUAA
RNAcentral lists this unclassified non-coding RNA (372 nucleotides) under uncultured fungus. RNAcentral's name for it is "sequence contains ITS1". The stretch from base 1 to 105 matches the Rfam family "5.8S ribosomal RNA", at positions 50 to 154 of the family's 154-position model. The record is from RNAcentral. Lineage: Eukaryota; Fungi.